Molecule: ribosomal RNA, 614 nt
Filed under: Nonomuraea sp. YIM 65681
Lineage: Bacteria; Bacillati; Actinomycetota; Actinomycetes; Streptosporangiales; Streptosporangiaceae
Description: bacterial SSU rRNA
Rfam family: Bacterial small subunit ribosomal RNA
Source: RNAcentral
UGCAGUCGAGCGGAAGGCCCUUCGGGGUACUCGAGCGGCGAACGGGUGAGUAACACGUGAGCAACCUGCCCCUGACUCUGGGAUAAGCCCGGGAAACUGGGUCUAAUACCGGAUACGACCGCCCCCGGCAUCGGGUGGUGGUGGAAAGUUUUUUCGGUUGGGGAUGGGCUCGCGGCCUAUCAGCUUGUUGGUGGGGUAGUGGCCUACCAAGGCGACAACGGGUAGCCGGCCUGAGAGGGCGACCGGCCACACUGGGACUGAAACACGGCCCAAACUCCUACGGGAGGCAGCAGUGGGGAAUAUUGCGCAAUGGGCGGAAGCCUGACGCACCGACCCCGCGUGGGGGAUGACGGCCUUCGGGUUGUAAACCUCUUUCAGCAGGGACAAAGUUGACGUGUACCUGCAGAAGAAGCGCCGGCUAACUACGUGCCAGCAGCCGCGGUAAUACGUAGGGCGCAAGCGUUGUCCGGAAUUAUUGGGCGUAAAGAGCUCGUAGGUGGCUGGUCGCGUCUGCCGUGAAAGCCCGCACCUUAACUGCGGGUCUGCGGUGGAUACGGGCCGGCUAGAGGUAGGUAGGGGCAAGUGGAAUUCCUGGUGUAGCGGUGAAAUGCGCA